RNAcentral lists this ribosomal RNA (497 nucleotides) under uncultured bacterium. RNAcentral describes it as "partial 16S ribosomal RNA". It matches the Rfam family "Bacterial small subunit ribosomal RNA", at positions 28 to 507 of the family's 1533-position model. The record is from RNAcentral.
GACGAACGCUGGCGGCGUGCCUAAUACAUGCAAGUUGAGCGCUGAAGGUUGGUACUUGUACCAACUGGAUGAGCAGCGAACGGGUGAGUAACGCGUGGGGAAUCUGCCUUUUAGCGGGGGACAACAUUUUGAAACGACUGCUAAUACCCCAUAAACACUUUACACACAAGUUUAACGUUUGAAAGAUCCAAUUGCAUCACUCAAAGAUGAUCCCGCGUUGUAUUAGCUAGUUGGUGAGGUAAAGGCUCACCAAGGCGAUGAUGCAUAGCCGACCUGAGAGGGUGAUCGGGCACAAUGGGAAUGGGGCACGGGCCAAACUCCUUCGGGAGGCAGCAGUAGGGAAUCUUCGGAAAUGGACGAAAGGCUGACCGGGCAACGCCGCGGGAGUGAAGGAGGUUUUCGGAUCGUAAAACUCUGUUUGUAGAGAAGAAAGUUGGGGAGAGUGAAAAGCUGAUCAAGUGACGGUAACUACCCAGAAAGCAACGGCUAACUACGUG